Long non-coding RNA from Arabidopsis thaliana (thale cress), 516 nucleotides. RefSeq annotates it as other RNA. The transcript has 2 exons. The record is from RefSeq. Lineage: Eukaryota; Viridiplantae; Streptophyta; Magnoliopsida; Brassicales; Brassicaceae.
GUCUACGAUUUCUAAAGGGGUCCACAAAAAUCAUGCAUUUUUGGAUCCACGCACCUCAUUCUCAAAAACCCAUCGCGUGUCGUAUUUUUUUUGGUUUUCUUCUCUAAACCAAAUUAAACCGAACCGAGAUCAAUUUGAAUUUCAAAACCAAUGUAAACCCAUCGCUGUGAAAACAAAAAGCUCGGCCACUGUAACAACAAAAAUGGAGACGACACAACUUGGAAGAGAAAUCAAACACGAAAUAGCCAAGAGAAUGUUCGAAAACCCCCUCAAAUCCGAUGCUUCCUUUGAUUCCAACCUCCAAAAGCUCAUCUGCUCAAUUUAUGAAAUCAAGCUCUGGUUUAUGCAACUAGGAUCCCAGAGAGAUGGAUGCCGGGGAUGAAGGAUUUUGUUUUUGUUACAUAUGAUUAAAUGGAUUUUAUAUUUGCUUAUUUUUGAAUGCAAAUGACGUUGCUUCUAAAUAUUAUUUCUUCUCAAUCAUUCAUGCUCUGUUUUCCUCUCUUCUUAGGCUCUGUG